UACGGGGGGGGCAAGCGUUGUUCGGAAUUACUGGGCGUAAAGGGCUCGUAGGCGGCCAACUAAGUCAGACGUGAAAUCCCUCGGCUUAACCGGGGAACUGCAUCUGAUACUGGAUGGCUUGAGUGUGGGAGAGGGAUGCGGAAUUCCAGGUGUAGCGGUGAAAUGCGUAGAUAUCUGGAGGAACACCGGUGGCGAAGGCGGCAUCCUGGACCAUUACUGACACUGAAAAGCGAAAGCCAGGGGAGCAAACGGG
Molecule: ribosomal RNA, 253 nt
Filed under: uncultured bacterium
Lineage: Bacteria
Description: partial 16S ribosomal RNA
Rfam family: Bacterial small subunit ribosomal RNA
Source: RNAcentral